Molecule: long non-coding RNA, 656 nt
Organism: Asparagus officinalis (garden asparagus)
Lineage: Eukaryota; Viridiplantae; Streptophyta; Magnoliopsida; Asparagales; Asparagaceae
Exons: 2
Source: RefSeq, a predicted model, not a curated record
CCUCUUCACCAGCGACACUUUCUUUCUGUUAAGUUGUGUACGUAUACAGAAAAACGACCAUGCCCAGGUUCAAGCAUGAUUUUUGCAAUGUUAAUAUUUUCUCUCUUUGCUUUGAAUGUAAGAUCUAUUAGAAAUGUGUUUUUUUCUCUGGUACUUUUUAAUAUGAACAUGUUGCAAUUCUCUAUUUUUUUUUAGUUAUCUAAUUUACUUUUAAAUUUUUUUCCCCUGUGUGCAUUGGAUUCCAAGAUGAUAAUAGUAUGUGAUUCCUUUCUAUCAUGAGAUCACAACCUAUCUGAAACUAAUCUGUAGUGACAUGGCAUGAUAUGGAUGGAGGUUCCAAGGUGAUAGAUGGUGAAGGGGAGAUUAGUUUUGUGUGAUGCAGUGGGAAGAAGAAGCCAGAGACAUGACGAAGGAAAGGCUUGCAAUGUUGAUAAGACAUGGGCUUAGUGGUCUUUAUUGUUCAAGUUUACUUAAUCAUGGUUUAUUUCUUUCUGUUGUAGGUCUUUUGGGUAGGUUUUGAUUUAUUAGAUUUGCAUUUCAAAUUUAGAGUUGUAGAGUGUGAAGGAGCGAGGAACCAUGUAAACCUAUGGUCUAAAGAAGUAGAGGCUUUGUAAUUAGCAUAUUGUUUGAUUUGUUAAUAAAACAUGUGUCAAACA